This is a ribosomal RNA of Dendrobium catenatum, 119 nucleotides long. The record is from RefSeq and is a predicted model, not a curated record. NCBI's taxonomy places the organism in Eukaryota, Viridiplantae, Streptophyta, Magnoliopsida, Asparagales, Orchidaceae.
AGGUGCGACCAUCCCAGCACUAGUGCUCUGAAUCCCAUCAGAACUUCACAGUUAAGUGUGCAUGGGUGAGAGUAGUACUGGGAUGGGUGACCUCCUGGGAAUUCCUUGUGUUGCUCCUU